Molecule: transfer RNA, 72 nt
Filed under: Phrynosoma platyrhinos (Desert horned lizard)
Lineage: Eukaryota; Metazoa; Chordata; Lepidosauria; Squamata; Phrynosomatidae
Description: tRNA-OTHER
Source: RNAcentral
GGCAGCAUGGUGUAGUGGUUUGAGUGUUGGACUACCACUCUGGAGACCUGGGUUUGAUUCUCCAUUCUGCCA